RNAcentral lists this small RNA (68 nucleotides) under Streptomyces albus subsp. albus DSM 41398. Its description in RNAcentral is "ASdes TB sRNA". It matches the Rfam family "ASdes TB sRNA". Lineage: Bacteria; Bacillati; Actinomycetota; Actinomycetes; Kitasatosporales; Streptomycetaceae. The record is from Rfam by way of RNAcentral.
AGCUCGUCGGGGUCGACGGCGCGCGAGGUGAGCAGGUAGUCGCGCAUGACGAUGCCGUGCCUGCCCUC